GCAGUCAAUCUGUUCUACCCGCGCCACACAUGCAUCUAGCCGGCCGCAGCUGCCAGUGCCGCGCCGCCUCUUCCCCAGCCUCCCUUGCCUCACCGAUGUGUUGCCCAGCCGGAGGCCUGCCGCCAUCGCCUGCGACCACCACCGAUGGCCGGUGUGGCACGAGCUUUGCUGCCCAUAGCCGCAGCGGCGUCAUGCAUCUGGAGCGACGGCCGCCAACAUCUCCCUCGCCGAUCCUAUUUCGUCGGUUAACAGCUGCAAAAAGGAUGAGGAGGGUGGACCAAACUAAAGUCAUGCAGAUCAAUCUUUUGGUUUCAGAUUAGAGAAAGCCGUGCCAGCAAUGGAGAUGGUGUAGAGCUAGAUGGUUUCCAUGCUGCGGAGUUGGGCGCAUCUCUCGGCAACUCUGGUGGCUGGGGCAACUUGAUGAGAAACCUGACAAUACACAGUGUUGAAGAGGGAGCCUAGGCUGUGCAAGUGUUGUUGCAGAUCUGCAAAAUGGUUAGGGGCUUGCUGGGGAUCUGAUCACUACCCACAUGCUAAUUUGCUGGCAACUUGUGAGCAUGGCCAUGGCUGAGUUUCCUGUAAUGUGACAAGCAACAAAAGCUGUUGUGGUUUUUGGUUUCAGUAGGUGUUAGUGUUCCCUGCUAUAAACUGUUGCUCACAAUAAUAACCGAGUAGGUUGUGUAACCUUGCUUAAGUCUGGAAACAAUAUUGAACGAGGAGUUUGUUGCCUUUGCCUCCUAGUGGCUACAUAUUGUUGUGAAUUUCUGUAUAUUGAAUUGGGUGAAAACAAAUGGCCUAUAAGAUGGUUGUAAGAUUAUGUGGCCUAUGUUCAUGUA
Molecule: long non-coding RNA, 836 nt
Organism: Panicum virgatum (switchgrass)
Lineage: Eukaryota; Viridiplantae; Streptophyta; Magnoliopsida; Poales; Poaceae
Exons: 3
Source: RefSeq, a predicted model, not a curated record